Long non-coding RNA from Lathyrus oleraceus (garden pea), 738 nucleotides. RefSeq lists it as uncharacterized. Lineage: Eukaryota; Viridiplantae; Streptophyta; Magnoliopsida; Fabales; Fabaceae. The transcript is spliced from 3 exons. The record is from RefSeq and is a predicted model, not a curated record.
GAAAAAACAAUUCUCUCUCUUUCCAUUAGUCACCUCUUUUAAUUAUAAAUUGGAAUAAUAAAAAACAAAAUUAAAUGGGAAUUAAAGUGCUAUCAUGACAAAUCAAACCUAAAACAAGCCUCAUUAUCAAACGAUCCUCCACUCUCUCGUGACUUUCUCUCUCCGUCGCUUCACUCUCUCCCUCUCUCGAUUUCAUGGCACACAACAACAAAAAUAACAUGCAAAAACCAAGCUCAAACGAAGAACAGAUCUCAAACGCGCACAAAGCAAAAAUCACGUAAAAAAUCAGAUGCCAUGGAUUCGGUUCAACACAGAAGAAUAAAAGUUGCAGCAAAGCAUAAUAGAUGAUAAAAAGGAAACUCAUAGAAGAAGGUAGACGCAAAUGGUUUACCAAAUCAAAAGUUCUGAAAAUCUCCGGGUUGGCGAGAUCUUUCGAAUUCCAACAAAGGCCUUCUUCCGCAAGCGAUUCUUUAAUGAGGAAAUUUUGAACAAGUUUUCUUGGAAUUUUGCAGAGAGUUUUGGGAUUUGGAUUUCGGUCGAAAUUUGUGCAGAAUGACGACUGGGUUACAACGUGAAGUGACUUGAUGGAAUGGAAGGUUGGAUCCACUCUAUGAGGCAAUUGGAUUUAGGAGCGUUUUGGCCUGAAGAAAGGUUUUGGCCGUUGGUUCUUCAAAAGCUUUGUUCUCAACCUGUCAUUGUUGCAGCACCUUUUAUUUGGAUUUGUAUUGUGGAUAAUUA